GGAGGAGGAGGGGGCCGCGGGCGCUCCCCCGCUGGGUGGACCCCCGGAGCCGGCGGCGGCCUCGCCCUCGUUCUUGAGGUCUUGGAAGACCUGCGUGAAAAAGUGGGGGUCGGCAUUGAGCCGCAGCAUCUGCGGGCUGAGCCGCUGGAUGAGGCGCAGGCAGCGUUGCCAGAAGCGCUCCUUGUCGGGCUCCACGAGGAAGGGCUUGAGCGGGUAGGAGAUCUCGUUGCCCAUGUAGGAGUAGGCGAGGUAGAGACAGGUGAGGAAGGCGGCCUGCAGCUCGGCGGCCGACGCCAGCUCAUCCCCGCGCAGCGACUCCCGGCACAGCAGGUACACGAACACCAGGUUGGCGGGCGUAAUGAAGGCCUGGUCUUGCCAGCCCUGCAGCAGCAGCGAGCGGUCCACUCCGCGGAACCAGCCCACCAGCUCGCCCGGGCUCAGCUCCUUGAGACGGUAGCAGCGUCGGCACACGAAGUCGCCCAGGCAGCGCAGCAGCUCGCCGGUGGAAGCCUGCACGAUGACCCUCCGCGGCGAGCCGCCAGAUGCGGCUACCAGGCGCUUCCAGGUGAGGGCCGAGAUGAGUACCGACGGCCGCUUGAGUCGGCUCUCGCCUUUGCCGCCCUUGCCCACUGGCGGCGCCCCGUAGCCCCCAAGCGCCUCGUCCCCAGCGGGCGGCGCCUUCUUCUUCUCCUCCGGCAGCCCGCCGGGCCUCCGGCCCUUGGCCGAGGAGGCGGGGGAAAGAGACAGCACCGUGCCCAUCCUGCAGAGCGGGGCCGGCGCCCGGGCCCCGGCGGGAACCGCGGGCGGAGCCGCUGCCGCCGCCGCCGCCGCCGCUGCUGCAGCCCCCGGGGACCCGGCGGUGGGGGCCUAGCCCCGGCCCGGGCGCGGGAACAGGCAGUGGAAGGUGGCUGCUCGGCGGUUCGGCGGCGGCGGCUCAGAGUCUGAGCUGCGCCAGCUGCAGCGUCAGCCCCACCCCUUGGCCCGGUCUUUGCCGAGCCGCGCCCCUCCUCGCGCAGCCAAUCCUCGACCGAGGUGCCCUCCUAACCGGCAUCUCCUCUGACCAAUAGAAUCUCGCAUGCCAAUCAGGCCCCACCCACCCCCCCUCCUCUGUCUCAGGUCCUUUCCCUUCACUAGAA
RNAcentral lists this long non-coding RNA (1136 nucleotides) under Sus scrofa (pig). RNAcentral describes it as "lncRNA (ENSSSCG00050046257.1)". Lineage: Eukaryota; Metazoa; Chordata; Mammalia; Artiodactyla; Suidae. The record is from RNAcentral.